This 1254-nucleotide long non-coding RNA is filed under the name Anas platyrhynchos platyrhynchos (common mallard). RNAcentral describes it as "lncRNA (ENSAPLG00000024379.1)". Lineage: Eukaryota; Metazoa; Chordata; Aves; Anseriformes; Anatidae. The record is from RNAcentral.
AUAUGAUACUGUAUGUCUUCACCCUUCUGGAUCAGUGAUGUAUUUGCACAGUUGGGGAAAAGCAGACGAAGAAGAGCUAGCUUUGGGGCUCUUAAACCGCAACGUACAUGUACAAUGUAGGCAAUCUCAGCUUGUCUGGGACACUGCUUGUCCUAGUGGAGUACUGCUAUUUAUGCAACAUAAAGUAUCUUACCAAAACUGAGGGACCAGGUGUGCCUUAAUGACAGCAGAUUGAUAGCAGGUGCUGCCCCACACACCUUAAAUAGUAAAAAGGCUCACUGGAGUUGUGACUGGGAAGAGAGCUAUGAGUCCACCUCAGAAGCAGAGAGGUGCAGAUAAUGACUCACCUUCCAGAACUGGAGAGAGACAGAACAUUGUGGGAUCUAAGAUAACCUGUGCCGCUGUGGCUACUUCCCUAUCCCGUGAUGAACUGCAGUCCUCAGUAAAGGAAAACAUCCCGACAGUUUGUAUUCUGGGCCACUGGCUUUAUAUUACUAUUCAUGUCCUAGAACAGUUUUUUGUGAGAAUUGUGAAAGAAAUGUGAUGAAAACGUGUUCUAGUGACUGUCUGUGGUGGUAAACCAGGGCUGAAGUCUGGGCUCAUUCAGCACGGAAAAAGGAUGGCCUUGUGAGGACCUAACAGCAGCCUGUCCACAUAUAUCAAGCAGAUGGGUCCCAGCUGUUCAUAGCAGGAGGAUGAGAGAUGGGCAGAAUCUGAAACGAGAGGUUCAGAUGGGAUAUAAGGAAAAAUUACCCUCUGCCGUGAGGACCAUCGGGCAGCUAUGCAAGCUUCAGCCUUGGAGGACUUCAAGACCGGACUGGAUCAAGCCCUGAGCAACCUAGUUGGAUACUGUGACUGACCCUGCACUGAGCUGGAUUUAUGCUAGAGGCCUCCUGAGGUCCCUUACAAGCUGAAUUCCCUUGUCAUCUUAUUAGUCACAGGCCUUCCUCUGAGGACAACAUGAGGCACCUAGCUUGCUAGCCUGUGGGGUUUGGUUUCCAUGGUUUGUGAGGGGGAGUCCAUGUGGCUCCCUUUGGGAAAUCAGACUGCCUAGACCAUGUAGUGCGGCCUCCCAGUGGGAUGCAGCCCAUCGUGCCACCAGUGUGGGGUUGGGCAGCAGCAGGGCGGCCAUGUUGCUGCGCUGCCACCUGAGGAGGCCUGACGUGGCCUGGGGAGGUGAGCCCCUGGAAGGCAGCUGGGGGCAGCUGGUUACAGGAGGGUGCUUAGAAAUAAAUGUAGAGGUGUGUGGUAACA